GACGAACGCUGGCGGCGUGCUUAACACAUGCAAGUCGAGCGAGGCCCCUCCUUCGGGAGGGUGUCCUAGCGGCGAACGGGUGAGUAACACGUGGGCAACCUGCCCUCAGCUCUGGGAUAACUCCGGGAAACCGGGGCUAAUACCGGAUACGACCUCCACGGGCAUCUGCGGAGGUGGAAAGUUUUUCGGCUGAGGAUGGGCCCGCGGCCUAUCAGCUAGUUGGUGGGGUAGUGGCCACCAAGGCGACGACGGGUAGCCGGCCUGAGAGGGCGACCGGCCACACUGGGACUGAGACACGGCCCAGACUCCUACGGGAGGCAGCAGUGGGGAAUAUUGCGCAAUGGGCGAAAGCCUGACGCAGCGACGCCGCGUGAGGGACGAAGGCCUUCGGGUUGCAAACCUCUUUCAGCAGGGACGAAGCGAAAGUGACGGUACCUGCAGAAGAAGCACCGGCCAACUACGUG
RNAcentral lists this ribosomal RNA (464 nucleotides) under uncultured bacterium. RNAcentral's name for it is "partial 16S ribosomal RNA". It matches the Rfam family "Bacterial small subunit ribosomal RNA", at positions 28 to 507 of the family's 1533-position model. The record is from RNAcentral.